GGCCAUAUCACGUUGAAACAUUGGUUCCUAUACGAUCCUCGAACUUAAGCAACCUUACGCCUAGUCAGUACCUAGCUGGGUGACCGCUUGGGAAUAACAAGUGCUAU
Non-coding RNA from Acanthosepion pharaonis, 107 nucleotides. The record is from the annotation of a GenBank genome assembly. Lineage: Eukaryota; Metazoa; Mollusca; Cephalopoda; Sepiida; Sepiidae.